UCCGUAGGUGAACCUGCGGAAGGAUCAUUACUGAAUUGUCAACAAGGGUUGUUGCUGGUCCUCAAAUGGGGACAUGUGCACACUCUGUUCACACAUCCACUCACACCCUGUGCACCCUCCGUAGUUCUAUGGUCAGGGGGCCUGUCCUCCUGCUGUGGUUCUGCGUCUUUACACACACACUGUAACAAAGUUUCAUGGAAUGCAUGCCGCGUUUAACGCAAUACAAUACAACUUUCAGCAACGGAUCUCUUGGCUCUCGCAUCGAUGAAGAACGCAGCGAAAUGCGAUAAGUAAUGUGAAUUGCAGAAUUCAGUGAAUCAUCGAAUCUUUGAACGCACCUUGCGCCCUUUGGACAUUCCGAAGGGCAUGCCUGUUUGAGUAUCAUGAACACCUCAACUCUUCAUGGUUUUCCAUGAUGAGCUUGGACUUUGGGGGGGUUUUGCUGGCCUCUGAAGUCAGCUCCUCUAAAAUAAAUCAGCUUGCCAGUGUUUGGUGGGUAUCGCAGGUGUGAUAACUAUCUAUGCUUGUGGUUUUCCACCAGGUAACCUUCAGCAGUGGAGGUUCACUGGAGGCUCACAGAUGUCUCUCCUCAGUGAGGACAGCCCUUUGAAUGUUUGAUCUCAAAUCAGGUAGGACUACCCGCUGAACUUAAGCAUAUCAAUAAGCGGAGGA
This 672-nucleotide ribosomal RNA is filed under the name uncultured Tomentella/Thelophora. RNAcentral's name for it is "eukaryotic LSU rRNA". The stretch from base 230 to 384 matches the Rfam family "5.8S ribosomal RNA". The record is from RNAcentral. Lineage: Eukaryota; Fungi; Basidiomycota; Agaricomycetes; Thelephorales; Thelephoraceae.